UACGUAGGGUGCAAGCGUUGUCCGGAAUUAUUGGGCGUAAAGAGCUUGUAGGCGGUUUGUCGCGUCUGCUGUGAAAUUUCGGGGCUCAACCCCGAACUUGCAGUGGGUACGGGCAGACUAGAGUGUGGUAGGGGAGACUGGAAUUCCUGGUGUAGCGGUGAAAUGCGCAGAUAUCAGGAGGAACACCGAUGGCGAAGGCAGGUCUCUGGGCCAUAACUGACGCUGAGGCGCGAAAGCGUGGGGAGCGAACAGG
RNAcentral lists this ribosomal RNA (253 nucleotides) under uncultured bacterium. Its description in RNAcentral is "partial 16S ribosomal RNA". It matches the Rfam family "Bacterial small subunit ribosomal RNA", at positions 524 to 776 of the family's 1533-position model. The record is from RNAcentral.